Molecule: ribosomal RNA, 253 nt
Filed under: uncultured bacterium
Lineage: Bacteria
Description: partial 16S ribosomal RNA
Rfam family: Bacterial small subunit ribosomal RNA
Source: RNAcentral
UACAGAGGGGGCAAGCGUUGUUCGGAAUUACUGGGCGUAAAGGGCGCGUAGGCGGCCAUCUAAGUCGGACGUGAAAUCCCCGGGCUCAACCCGGGAACUGCGUCCGAUACUGGAUGGCUUGAAUCCGGGAGAGGGAUGCGGAAUUCCAGGUGUAGCGGUGAAAUGCGUAGAUAUCUGGAGGAACACCGGUGGCGAAGGCGGCAUCCUGGACCGGGAUUGACGCUGAGGCGCGAAAGCUAGGGGAGCAAACGGG